This 313-nucleotide long non-coding RNA is filed under the name Rattus norvegicus (Norway rat). RNAcentral's name for it is "long non-coding RNA NONRATT000200". Lineage: Eukaryota; Metazoa; Chordata; Mammalia; Rodentia; Muridae. The record is from RNAcentral.
GAAAUUCCUUUUUUUUUUUUUUUAAAGAACCGAAUGCAUCACUUGGGUCAUACAGAACUAUCGGUACCUCUAGGUCCCGGGUGACGAACCCUGGAAGGUGGGAGGGGGCGACAGAGGCGGGGAAAGGACAGGCAUGGCCAGUCAGCCCCGAGAGGGCGGCCUCCGGCCUCCCCGCCUCCCCAGUCGCGGGAACGCCCGCCUUGUCCCCUGCCGUCAGGAACGGGAGCAGAAUGGCUGUGAAACGGUGCAAGUAUCCCCACGAGCAGCAAACCGCUCUGACUAACGGGAAGCCAGCGCGGCCGCAAGCCCGGUC